GGUUAAGCGACUAAGCGUACACGGUGGAUGCCCUGGCAGUCAGAGGCGAUGAAGGACGUGCUAAUCUGCGAUAAGCGUCGGUAAGGUGAUAUGAACCGUUAUAACCGGCGAUUUCCGAAUGGGGAAACCCAGUGUGUUUCGACACACUAUCAUUAACUGAAUCCAUAGGUUAAUGAGGGCGAACCGGGGGAACUGAAACAUCUAAGUACCCCGAGGAAAAGAAAUCAACCGAGAUUCCCCCAGUAGCGGCGAGCGAACGGGGAGGAGCCCAGAGCCUGAAUCAGUGUGUGUGUUAGUGGAAGCGUCUGGAAAGGCGCGCGAUACAGGGUGACAGCCCCGUACACAAAAAUGCACAUAUUGUGAGCUCGAUGAGUAGGGCGGGACACGUGGUAUCCUGUCUGAAUAUGGGGGCCCAUCCUCCAAGGCUAAAUACUCCUGACUGACCGAUAGUGAACCAGUACCGUGAGGGAAAGGCGAAAAGAACCCCGGCGAGGGGGAGUGAAAAAGAACCUGAAACCGUGUACGUACAAGCAGUGGGAGCACGCUUAGGCGUGUGACUGCGUACCUUUGUAUAAUGGGUCAGCGACUUAUAUUCUGUAGCAAGGUUAACCGAAUAGGGGAGCCGAAGGGAAACCGAGUCUUAACUGGGCGUUAAGUUGCAGGGUAUAGACCCGAAACCCGGUGAUCUAGCCAUGGGCAGGUUGAAGGUUGGGUAACACUAACUGGAGGACCGAACCGACUAAUGUUGAAAAAUUAGCGGAUGACUUGUGGCUGGGGGUGAAAGGCCAAUCAAACCGGGAGAUAGCUGGUUCUCCCCGAAAGCUAUUUAGGUAGCGCCUCGUGAAUUCAUCUCCGGGGGUAGAGCACUGUUUCGGCAAGGGGGUCAUCCCGACUUACCAACCCGAUGCAAACUGCGAAUACCGGAGAAUGUUAUCACGGGAGACACACGGCGGGUGCUAACGUCCGUCGUGAAGAGGGAAACAACCCAGACCGCCAGCUAAGGUCCCAAAGUCAUGGUUAAGUGGGAAACGAUGUGGGAAGGCCCAGACAGCCAGGAUGUUGGCUUAGAAGCAGCCAUCAUUUAAAGAAAGCGUAAUAGCUCACUGGUCGAGUCGGCCUGCGCGGAAGAUGUAACGGGGCUAAACCAUGCACCGAAGCUGCGGCAGCGACGCUUAUGCGUUGUUGGGUAGGGGAGCGUUCUGUAAGCCUGCGAAGGUGUGCUGUGAGGCAUGCUGGAGGUAUCAGAAGUGCGAAUGCUGACAUAAGUAACGAUAAAGCGGGUGAAAAGCCCGCUCGCCGGAAGACCAAGGGUUCCUGUCCAACGUUAAUCGGGGCAGGGUGAGUCGACCCCUAAGGCGAGGCCGAAAGGCGUAGUCGAUGGGAAACAGGUUAAUAUUCCUGUACUUGGUGUUACUGCGAAGGGGGGACGGAGAAGGCUAUGUUGGCCGGGCGACGGUUGUCCCGGUUUAAGCGUGUAGGCUGGUUUUCCAGGCAAAUCCGGAAAAUCAAGGCUGAGGCGUGAUGACGAGGCACUACGGUGCUGAAGCAACAAAUGCCCUGCUUCCAGGAAAAGCCUCUAAGCAUCAGGUAACAUCAAAUCGUACCCCAAACCGACACAGGUGGUCAGGUAGAGAAUACCAAGGCGCUUGAGAGAACUCGGGUGAAGGAACUAGGCAAAAUGGUGCCGUAACUUCGGGAGAAGGCACGCUGAUAUGUAGGUGAAGUCCCUUGCGGAUGGAGCUGAAAUCAGUCGAAGAUACCAGCUGGCUGCAACUGUUUAUUAAAAACACAGCACUGUGCAAACACGAAAGUGGACGUAUACGGUGUGACGCCUGCCCGGUGCCGGAAGGUUAAUUGAUGGGGUCAGCGCAAGCGAAGCUCUUGAUCGAAGCCCCGGUAAACGGCGGCCGUAACUAUAACGGUCCUAAGGUAGCGAAAUUCCUUGUCGGGUAAGUUCCGACCUGCACGAAUGGCGUAAUGAUGGCCAGGCUGUCUCCACCCGAGACUCAGUGAAAUUGAACUCGCUGUGAAGAUGCAGUGUACCCGCGGCAAGACGGAAAGACCCCGUGAACCUUUACUAUAGCUUGACACUGAACAUUGAGCCUUGAUGUGUAGGAUAGGUGGGAGGCUUUGAAGUGUGGACGCCAGUCUGCAUGGAGCCGGCCUUGAAAUACCACCCUUUAAUGUUUGAUGUUCUAACGUGGACCCGUGAUCCGGGUUGCGGACAGUGUCUGGUGGGUAGUUUGACUGGGGCGGUCUCCUCCUAAAGAGUAACGGAGGAGCACGAAGGUUGGCUAAUCCUGGUCGGACAUCAGGAGGUUAGUGCAAUGGCAUAAGCCAGCUUGACUGCGAGCGUGACGGCGCGAGCAGGUGCGAAAAGCAGGUCAUAGUGAUCCGGUGGUUCUGAAUGGAAGGGCCAUCGCUCAACGGAUAAAAAGGUACUCCGGGGAUAACAGGCUGAUACCGCCCAAGAGUUCAUAUCGACGGCGGUGUUUGGCACCUCGAUGUCGGCUCAUCACAUCCUGGGGCUGAAGUAGGUCCCAAGGGUAUGGCUGUUCGCCAUUUAAAGUGGUACGCGAGCUGGGUUUAGAACGUCGUGAGACAGUUCGGUCCCUAUCUGCCGUGGGCGCUGGAGAACUGAGGGGGGCUGCUCCUAGUACGAGAGGACCGGAGUGGACGCAUCACUGGUGUUCGGGUUGUCAUGCCAAUGGCACUGCCCGGUAGCUAAAUGCGGAAGAGAUAAGUGCUGAAAGCAUCUAAGCACGAAACUUGCCCCGAGAUGAGUUCUCCCUGACCCUUUAAGGGUCCUGAAGGAACGUUGAAGACGACGACGUUGAUAGGCCGGGUGUGUAAGCGCAGCGAUGCGUUGAGCUAACCGGUACUAAUGAACCGUGAGGCUUAACCUU
This 2906-nucleotide ribosomal RNA is filed under the name Shigella sonnei. RNAcentral describes it as "23S ribosomal RNA". It matches the Rfam family "Bacterial large subunit ribosomal RNA". The record is from RNAcentral. Lineage: Bacteria; Pseudomonadati; Pseudomonadota; Gammaproteobacteria; Enterobacterales; Enterobacteriaceae.